GGAUAGCUUAGUUGGUUACAGUGUGGUGCUGAUUAUGCCAAGGUCGCAGGUUCGAUUCCCAUAUGAAACA
This is a non-coding RNA of Podarcis lilfordi (Lilford's wall lizard), 70 nucleotides long. The record is from the annotation of a GenBank genome assembly. NCBI's taxonomy places the organism in Eukaryota, Metazoa, Chordata, Lepidosauria, Squamata, Lacertidae.